Long non-coding RNA from Nothoprocta perdicaria, 479 nucleotides. RefSeq lists it as uncharacterized. The transcript has 3 exons. NCBI's taxonomy places the organism in Eukaryota, Metazoa, Chordata, Aves, Tinamiformes, Tinamidae. The record is from RefSeq and is a predicted model, not a curated record.
AAUUAUAAAACUGCAAAGUGUAACCAUGCACUUUUAUGAAGACUGGAAAUUGGACUGUUUCCAAAAGAAAUCCAGGAGUCCUUAGAACUCAUCUCAACAAGGAGGAGUAGCAUGUUCAGUAAAGGCAUCAUGAUCAGUCUCUUAAGCAUAAGCUGUGAAGAAUCCCAUUGCUUUCUUCCUAUUUCUCCCACCCACACACACCUUGCUAGUGCUGUCAGUCAAGAGGAGAGCUGCCAUAAAUGACCUUAGCUAGCCAAUAUCUGGAGUGUCAUUCAUGUCAGAGCUGAAGAUAAUUGUAUGGUUGUGAAUGGACAACACUUCACAACUACAAAUGUAAGAAAGCCUACAAAGGACAUGUUUGAGCAAAGAAAGAAUAAAGAAGGAGAUUGUUGAAAUUCAUUGUAUUAAAUGAGUUUGUGAAGGAUCAUUAGUUAACUUGGACUAGCUAUUUGUUUUUCCACUUGUAGUGUUUUGAGUUU